Molecule: long non-coding RNA, 722 nt
Organism: Prionailurus viverrinus (fishing cat)
Lineage: Eukaryota; Metazoa; Chordata; Mammalia; Carnivora; Felidae
Exons: 3
Source: RefSeq, a predicted model, not a curated record
CCUAGCAGCAGCUCUGCUUCAUUCAGUCCAACGGAAAGAAUUUGGCUCCUGAAGAUACUGUUCCGGCCAUUGAGGAUAAAAAGCUGGUUCUCCGUGUAUAUUCCAGUUGGGGUUUGGAGAGGGAGAAGUGGGUCACAGCUCUGAAAAUGCGGGAAAACUCACCUCUCCUGCGUGGGCUUCGGGGGACGCACCGUGAAACUCCUGGAAAUAAACAGUUUGAAUUUCCCAGAGAGGGGAGGGGCCACUUCCGGUGCGCCCCAGGGCAUCAUGGGAGGAGUCGGGUGGAGGGAAGAAAAGGCCGGAAGUGGCCCGCCGCCAUUGUUCGGACCGAGCUGAGGCGAGGGCGCGGCGUUGCCGAAGACCCAGAAGGCCAGCUUUGAAGAACACCUGGAGGAAAAGUGAAUCCCAUGUCAUCCCCAUAGUACAGAAGAUGCAGAAAUGGUGAAGGGAAUGGGUCAGGCCAUUUUGGAUUAACAGCACACUACCACGUAGAGAUUACUGUAAUGCAGUGUAUUCACCGAACACAGAAAGGAAGUCACCCUUGCCGUCUCAUGUCUGAGAUCAGUGGUUUCCUGACCUGUGGGGUCACAAGCCCCCAAGGAUCCUCAGGGUUGUUGCAGGGGACUCUUGAAUCCAUCUGCACAGCGAUAAUUGCCUCAAGUUUGAGCAAGCAACAUCAUCAAACAAACAGUGUUUUCUGUUAGAAAGUCUAAGUGACUGUA